This 121-nucleotide ribosomal RNA is filed under the name Petromyzon marinus (sea lamprey). Lineage: Eukaryota; Metazoa; Chordata; Hyperoartia; Petromyzontiformes; Petromyzontidae. The record is from RNAcentral.
GCCGAUGACCAAAUCAUCGUGAAUGUGCCAAACCUCGUCAGAUAUCAUAAGAUACGCAGGGAUUAUAGCCUGGUUAAUACUUGGAUGGAAAACUGUCUGGGAAUAUCAGGCGUUGUAUGCU